This 564-nucleotide ribosomal RNA is filed under the name uncultured bacterium. Its description in RNAcentral is "partial 16S ribosomal RNA". It matches the Rfam family "Bacterial small subunit ribosomal RNA", at positions 355 to 940 of the family's 1533-position model. The record is from RNAcentral.
UGGGGAAUAUUGCACAAUGGGCGAAAGCCUGAUGCAGCAACGCCGCGUGAGUGAUGAAGGCCUUCGGGUUGUAAAGCUCUGUCUUUUGGGACGAUAAUGACGGUACCAAAGGAGGAAGCCACGGCUAACUACGUGCCAGCAGCCGCGGUAAUACGUAGGUGGCAAGCGUUGUCCGGAUUUACUGGGCGUAAAGGAUGCGUAGGCGGAUUUUUAAGUGAGAUGUGAAAACCCUAAGCUUAACUUGGGGACUGCAUUUCAUACUGGAAAUCUAGAGUGCGGGAGAGGAGAAUGGAAUUCCUAGUGUAGCGGUGAAAUGCGUAGAGAUUAGGAAGAACACCAGUGGCGAAGGCGAUUCUCUGGACCGUAACUGACGCUGAGGCAUGAAAGCGUGGGUAGCAAACAGGAUUAGAUACCCUGGUAGUCCACGCCGUAAACGAUGAGUACUAGGUGUAGGAGGUAUCGACCCCUUCUGUGCCGCAGUUAACGCAAUAAGUACUCCGCCUGGGAAGUACGAUCGCAAGAUUAAAACUCAAAUGAAUUGACGGGGUCAUAGCUGUUUUUCCU